This 445-nucleotide ribosomal RNA is filed under the name uncultured Rothia sp. Its description in RNAcentral is "bacterial SSU rRNA". It matches the Rfam family "Bacterial small subunit ribosomal RNA", at positions 338 to 795 of the family's 1533-position model. The record is from RNAcentral. Lineage: Bacteria; Bacillati; Actinomycetota; Actinomycetes; Micrococcales; Micrococcaceae.
CCUACGGGAGGCAGCAGUGGGGAAUAUUGCACAAUGGGCGCAAGCCUGAUGCAGCGACGCCGCGUGAGGGAUGACGGCCUUCGGGUUGUAAACCUCUGUUAGCAUCGAAGAAGCGAAAGUGACGGUAGGUGCAGAGAAAGCGCCGGCUAACUACGUGCCAGCAGCCGCGGUAAUACGUAGGGCGCGAGCGUUGUCCGGAAUUAUUGGGCGUAAAGAGCUUGUAGGCGGUUGGUCGCGUCUGCUGUGAAAGGCUGGGGCUUAACCCUGGUUUUGCAGUGGGUACGGGCUAACUAGAGUGCAGUAGGGGAGACUGGAAUUCCUGGUGUAGCGGUGGAAUGCGCAGAUAUCAGGAGGAACACCGAUGGCGAAGGCAGGUCUCUGGGCUGUAACUGACGCUGAGAAGCGAAAGCAUGGGGAGCGAACAGGAUUAGAUACCCCAGUAGUC